CUCCUCUUAGUAAUUGUAAGCUCGUUCCAAAACGCGGUGGUUUCCGGUGUGGGCAUAAACUACGGGACUCUCGGAAACAACCUGCCAUCACCAAAGAGAGUAGCUCAGCUCCUCCAGGCCACUCUCAUAGACAAGGUCAAAAUCUAUGACACCAACCCCGAAAUCCUCCAGGCCUUUUCCAACACAGGCAUCGACCUAAUCGUCGCCGUCGAGAACAGCCAUGUCUCCAACAUCAGCACCGACGUGGCUGCUGCGGACGAGUGGUUUGCCACUCGUGUCCUGCCCUUCAUUCCUGCCACUUCCAU
RNAcentral lists this long non-coding RNA (305 nucleotides) under Prunus persica (peach). RNAcentral describes it as "long non-coding RNA (PPER_LNC005019)". The record is from RNAcentral. Lineage: Eukaryota; Viridiplantae; Streptophyta; Magnoliopsida; Rosales; Rosaceae.